Glycine soja is the source of this 2972-nucleotide RNA transcript. It is a transcript of the gene named inactive protein kinase SELMODRAFT_444075-like, with no coding region annotated. NCBI's taxonomy places the organism in Eukaryota, Viridiplantae, Streptophyta, Magnoliopsida, Fabales, Fabaceae. The record is from RefSeq and is a predicted model, not a curated record. The transcript has 10 exons.
AUUUUUCAAAGCCCCUUCGUGUCUCAAUCAUUAUGCACACACUGUCAGAGCAAAAUGGUAAUAAUACGAGAUGGGGUAACGGAAUCUGUUUCCAUAGCCUCACGCAUUCAACGUGAAAUGGGCAUCCUCGGUUUGUAAUUUUAUGAAAUGUAGUGUAACAAGCACUGUCCUUUCUUCUGUACCUGUUUUGUUUGUGGUGUCGCUCCCUGUUAAAGCGUGGAUUUUCACUUGUGCUGUGUGUGCUUUAACUGGAAGGUUGUUUAACUAAAGUGCCUUGAAGUGUGUGUAGCCUUCUACUUUUUCUCUUCUGGCUCUGGGCGACACAAAAGAAGAACCUUGGUUUCCGAGGCUGUUUGUUGUCACUGCUCAUUGCUGCAAAGUUGUAAUAUUUUGGCUGAUUCAGAUGGCUUUUGCGGUUGCAAGUUGAGAAUUUGAGAUGAGCAGCCAAAAGGGUCGUCAUGAGCAUGAAGAAGAGAUGGGUACCUCAGAAAGCACCGGUAAAGUGGUUGUGGUUGCAGUGAAAGCUUCUAGAGAUAUUUCAAGGACUGCUUUGGUGUGGGCUUUGACUCAUGUUGUUCAGCCAGGGGAUUGCAUUAAGCUGUUGGUUCUCAUUCCGACUCUUUCCUCAAACAAGAGGGUAUGGGGACUUUCAAGAUUUACUACUGAUUGUGCCUCGAGUCAUUGGAGAUCCAGUUUAGGAACCAUUUCAGAUCAGAAAGAAGUUAUUACAAAUUCCUGUUCUCAAUUAGUACUUCAACUCCAUGAUUUUUAUGAUCCAGAGAAGAUAAAAAUCAGAGUGAAGAUUCUUUCUGGUUCUUUAUGCGGAGCUGUUUCUGCUGAAGCCAAGAGAGUCCAGUCAAGCUGGGUUAUAUUGGACAAAAAAUUGAAGCAUGAAAAGAAAUACUGCAUGGAACAGCUGCAUUGCAAUAUUGUAAUUAUGAAGCGGUCUAGGCCAAAGAUUCUGCGCUUGAAUUUGAACAGUUCGUCUAAGAUGGAACUAAACAUGGCUUGUCCAUUGACACUUACAAAGAACUUCAAAGACAACUCUGAACAUGCAGAUAUAAUUAGAGGUCCAGCUGUUACUCCUGCUAGUAGUCCUGAGCAAGGGUCACCACUACUGACUGCAACUGAUAUUGGAACAUCAUCCAUAUCAAGCUCAGAUCCUGCAACUUCACCAUUUUUCCGCUCUGACAAUAAUGAAAGACAAAGGAGAGGUUUUACCUUUGUUCAUGAGGGACUGACAAACCUGGAGGAUAUCGAGUCUGACUCUGAGAGCGAAAAGCUAAGUAUGUCAUCCAAGAGUUCAUAUUUUCAGCCAUGGAUUGCAAAUGUAAUUUGCAUGGAUGGUGAUUUCUCAAGACAUGAGAACAACAUGCAAAGAUCCAGUGACAAGACUUUAGCUACUGCCUAUGAAGCUUUGCUUCAGAAAUUCUCAAAGUUGGAUCAAGAUCCUAUCCUAGGAAUGCUUAACUGUAAACUUGAUGUGAACUUAAGCAAAAGUGUUAGAGAAGCAAUUUCACUGGCUAAAACUUCAGCCCCUGGACCUCCCCCAUUGUGCUCCAUUUGUCAGCACAAGGCCCCUGUGUUUGGCAAUCCACCAAGGUGGUUUACAUUUUCUGAAUUGCAACUUGCCACAGGUGGUUUUUCACAAGCAAACUUCUUGGCAGAAGGUGGUUUUGGUUCUGUACACCGCGGUGUCCUGCCUGAUGGGCAAGUCAUUGCUGUCAAGCAGUACAAAUUAGCCAGUACUCAAGGAGACAAAGAGUUUUGCUCAGAAGUAGAGGUCUUAAGCUGUGCACAACAUCGCAAUGUUGUGAUGUUAAUUGGGUUCUGUGUGGAUGAUGGAAGAAGAUUGCUAGUUUAUGAAUACAUCUGCAAUGGCUCUCUGGAUUCUCAUCUCUACAGACGAAAGCAGAAUGUACUGGAAUGGUCUGCUAGGCAAAAGAUUGCAGUUGGAGCAGCUCGUGGCUUGAGAUACCUUCAUGAAGAAUGUAGAGUGGGUUGUAUUGUGCACCGUGACAUGCGGCCAAACAAUAUUCUUCUCACUCAUGAUUUCGAGGCUUUAGUAGGAGAUUUUGGACUAGCAAGGUGGCAGCCAGAUGGAGACAUGGGUGUGGAAACCAGGGUGAUAGGAACAUUUGGGUAUUUGGCGCCAGAAUAUGCUCAAAGUGGUCAAAUUACUGAAAAAGCUGACGUGUACUCGUUUGGGAUAGUAUUACUGGAGCUUGUCACAGGACGGAAAGCAGUAGAUAUAAAUCGGCCCAAGGGCCAGCAAUGCCUAAGUGAAUGGGCACGCCCAUUGCUUGAAAAACAAGCCAUUUACAAACUAGUAGAUCCGAGCUUAAGGAACUGCUAUGUUGAUCAAGAGGUUUAUCGCAUGCUGCAAUGUUCCUCUUUGUGCAUCGGACGCGAUCCUCAUUUAAGGCCACGAAUGUCUCAGGUGCUCAGGAUGCUGGAAGGUGACAUUCUCAUCUGAUUGCCUAUCACAUUUCCAUUUCCCAAGAACAUUAGUGUAGAACUAGUUCAAAGCUUCUUGCAGAUUCUUCAUUUGUAAAAAGCUUCGAGUUUUUCCUCCUAGAUUUUUAUAUCAAUGCUGUAAAUGUUGUCUUCGGUUUUGUGGAGAGGAGAGGUGUGUCAAUCACUCAAUGGAACAAGAUUGCCUCAACUCAACUAACCAAGGCACCGAUCUUCACAUAGUGUGACAUGAAAUGGUGUGUUUGGAAAUUAUGUUGGAAAGUUGAAAAAUUUAAAGCAACUAAUGUUUUGGGUUCAACUGCAUUUUAGAAUUGAUUUUUGCAUAAUUGAAAACUAAUGGGCCCUUUAGGCCUUGGACAAAGCCCCCAAGUUACUAGCUUAUGUUGAUAUAUAACGUGUUGACUUGUUAAUACUUACCUGACACUGAGGAUAAUUUAAUGUAUCCAAUUGUUGACAUGUACAUAUAUCGAGGUCUGAGAUGGGUUAAAACCAUCAAA